RNAcentral lists this ribosomal RNA (273 nucleotides) under uncultured bacterium. RNAcentral's name for it is "partial 16S ribosomal RNA". It matches the Rfam family "Bacterial small subunit ribosomal RNA", at positions 524 to 796 of the family's 1533-position model. The record is from RNAcentral.
UACGAAGGGGGCUAGCGUUGUUCGGAAUUACUGGGCGUAAAGGGCGCGUAGGCGGCCUUGAUAGUUGGGCGUGAAAGGCCUGGGCUCAACCCGGGAACUGCGUUCAAUACUGCGAGGCUAGAGUGUGGGAGAGGUUGGUGGAAUUCCCAGUGUAGAGGUGAAAUUCGUAGAUAUUGGGAAGAACACCGGUGGCGAAGGCGGCCAACUGGACCACAACUGACGCUGAGGCGCGAAAGCGUGGGGAGCAAACAGGAUUAGAUACCCCCGUAGUCC